RNAcentral lists this long non-coding RNA (479 nucleotides) under Prunus persica (peach). Its description in RNAcentral is "long non-coding RNA (PPER_LNC002629)". Lineage: Eukaryota; Viridiplantae; Streptophyta; Magnoliopsida; Rosales; Rosaceae. The record is from RNAcentral.
GAGAAUUAAGCGACGCAAAUAAGAUAAAACCGUCGUCUUAUUAUGAGUUGAUAAAUAAAAAACCGCCCAGAUUUCUAUCUCCCAUGUUUGUUUCAAAUAAGACGACGGUUUUAUCUUAAUAACGUUGUAUUUAUUAUCACACCACGUCAGUUAUUAAGUAUAGCCGUGCUAUUGAAAUAGCACGAAUUUAAUUACUGUCGUGGUGUGUGAAUAAAAACGUAAAUACAAGACAAAACUGUCAUCCUCACAGCACCUGAGACUGAGGGACUAGGUAUUUUAUCCAAACCAUGAAAGAUUUCAUCCUUUUGAAAGGAGUCUUGUUUCCAGACUCAUUCUUUAAAAAAAAAAAAAAAAAACUUCAAAUGAUAUUGAAAAAGAAAAAGAGAGUGAGAAAAUACCUUUGGCUUGCAAAGAAAGUUUUCUUUGGAAGUAAACUUUGGAGUUUUGGAGACGAAGACAAGGAAGAGAGUGAGAAUUAG